AAAGAUCGAAUGGGGAGAUUCAUCGUCAACGACGCUGGCUUCUCGGAUGUUCGUGAUGUCGGGGACUUCGGUCUCUCGGCACGCGUCCUUCGGGCAUGUCUGGCAGUGUCGACGUGCACUUCUCCCCUAGUAGGACGUCGCGACCCGUUGGGUGUCGGUCUACGGUACGGAAGGUCGACUGUCGCGUGGCCUCUGGCCUUUUGCGACAGACCUCCGGUCGCCCGGCCGGCUGCUCGGCGGUACUCGCACGGUAUCGGGCCGCGCCAUCGAACGCGUCGGGCCCGCCGCAAGCGCGGUCACGGAUCUCGGUGGCAACGGACCUGGUCCGUCCCCGGGCCUGGCCAGCUGUUGGUCGGCGGUGUUCUCCGACGGGCCAAGCUUUACGAUAUCGGUCGGCGACGCUAUUGCUUUGGGUACUCUCAGGACCCGUCUUGAAACACGGACCAAGGAGUCUAACAUGUGCGCGAGUCAUUGGGAAUGAAAACCUAAAGGCGAAAUGAAAGUGAAGGUCGGCCUAGCGCCGACCUAGGGAGGAUGGGCCGCGUCACGAUUCGGCUCCGCACUCCCGGGGCGUCUCGUUCUCAUU
RNAcentral lists this ribosomal RNA (586 nucleotides) under Bupon sp. MC-2010. Its description in RNAcentral is "eukaryotic LSU rRNA". Lineage: Eukaryota; Metazoa; Arthropoda; Insecta; Hymenoptera; Chrysididae. The record is from RNAcentral.